Molecule: long non-coding RNA, 1251 nt
Organism: Oncorhynchus keta (chum salmon)
Lineage: Eukaryota; Metazoa; Chordata; Actinopteri; Salmoniformes; Salmonidae
Exons: 4
Source: RefSeq, a predicted model, not a curated record
GGGAGGUAGUAACAUUUGGAAGCGUUGGGAGGUAGUAACAGUUUUCAGUGUUGGGAGGUAGUAACAUUUGGAAGCGUUGGGAGGUAGUAACAUUUGGAAGUGUUGGGAGGUAGUAACAUUUGGAAGCGUUGGGAGGUAGUAACAGUUUUCAGUGUUGGGAGGUAGUAACAUUUGGAAGUGUUGGGAGGUAGUAACAUUUGGAAGUGUUGGGAGGUAGUAACAUUUGGAAGCGUUGGGAGGUAGUAACAGUUUUCAGCGUUGGGAGGUAGUAACAUUUGGAAGCGUUGGGAGGUAGUAACAGUUUUCAGCGUUGGGAGGUAGUAACAUUUGGAAGCGUUGGGAGGUAGUAACAGUUUUCAGCGUUGGGAGGUAGUAACAUUUGGAAGCGUUGGGAGGUAGUAACAUUUGGAAGCGUUGGGAGGUAGUAACAGUUUUCAGCGUUGGGAGGUAGUAACAUUUGGAAGCGUUGGGAGGUAGUAACAUUUGGAAGCGUUGGGAGGUAGUAACAGUUUUCAGCGUUGGGAGGUAGUAACAUUUGGAAGCGUUGGGAGGUAGUAACAUUUGGAAGCGUUGGGAGGUAGUAACAGUUUUCAGCGUUGGGAGGUAGUAACAUUUGGAAGCGUUGGGAGGUAGUAACAGUUUUCAGCGUUGGGAGGUAGUAACAUUUGGAAGCGUUGGGAGGUAGUAACAUUUGGAAGCGUUGGGAGGUAGUAACAUUUGGAAGCGUUGGGAGGUAGUAACAGUUUUCAGCGUUGGGAGGUAGUAACAUUUGGAAGCGUUGGGAGGUAGUAACAUUUGGAAGCGUUGGGAGGUAGUAACAUUUGGAAGCGUUGGGAGGUAGUAACAGUUUUCAGCGUUGGGAGGUAGUAACAUUUGGAAGCGUUGGGAGGUAGUAACAUUUGGAAGCGUUGGGAGGUAGUAACAGUUUUCAGCGUUGGGAGGUAGUAACAUUUGGAAGCGUUGGGAGGUAGUAACAGUUUUCAGCGUUGGGAGGUAGUAACAUUUGGAAGCGUUGGGAGGUAGUAACAGUUUUCAGCGUUGGGAGGUAGUAACAUUUGGAAGCGUUGGGAGGUAGUAACAUUUGGAAGCGUUGGGAGGUAGUAACAGUUUUCAGCGUUGGGAGGUAGUAACAUUUGGAAGCGUUGGGAGGUAGUAACAUUUGGAAGCGUUGGGAGGUAGUAACAUUUGGAAGCGUUGGGAGGUAGUAACAUUUGGAAGCGUUGGGAGGUAGUAACAUUUGGAAGCGUUGGG